This 916-nucleotide ribosomal RNA is filed under the name uncultured bacterium. RNAcentral describes it as "bacterial SSU rRNA". It matches the Rfam family "Bacterial small subunit ribosomal RNA", at positions 8 to 916 of the family's 1533-position model. The record is from RNAcentral.
AGAGUUUGAUCAUGGCUCAGGACGAACGCUGGCGGCGUGCUUAAUACAUGCAAGUCGAGCGAGGUUACUGUUUUGGAUCCCUUCGGGGUGAAGAAGCUUUAACCUAGCGGCGGACGGGUGAGUAACGCGUGGGUAACCUACCCCAAAGUCCGGGAUAACAGCGGGAAACCGCUGCUAAUACCGGAUGUCUUUACCUUGGGGCAUCUUGAGGUAAAGAAAGGUAACGCUUUGGGAUGGGCCCGCGUCCCAUUAGCUAGUUGGUGAGGUAACGGCUCACCAAGGCGACGAUGGGUAGCCGGCCUGAGAGGGUGGACGGCCACACUGGGACUGAGACACGGCCCAGACUCCUACGGGAGGCAGCAGUAGGGAAUAUUGCGCAAUGGACGGAAGUCUGACGCAGCGACGCCGCGUGAGCGAUGAAGGUCUUCGGAUCGUAAAGCUCUGUCCUUGGGGAAGAAGGCGAAAGCUUGACGGUACCCAAGAAGAAAGCCCCGGCUAACUAUGUGCCAGCAGCCGCGGUAAUACGUAGGGGGCGAGCGUUGUCCGGAAUUACUGGGCGUAAAGGGUGCGUAGGCGGCCCUUUAAGUCGGAUGUGAAAGCCCGCGGCUUAACCGCGGAAUGGCAUUCGAAACUGGAGGGCUUGAGUGUCGGAGAGGGUAGUGGAAUUCCCAGUGUAGCGGUGAAAUGCGUAGAUAUUGGGAGGAACACCAGUGGCGAAGGCGACUACCUGGACGAUAACUGACGCUGAGGCACGAAAGCUAGGGGAGCAAACAGGAUUAGAUACCCUGGUAGUCCUAGCCGUAAACGAUGGGUACUAGGUGUGGGUGGUUUCGAUACCAUCCGUGCCGUAGUUAACGCAUUAAGUACCCCGCCUGGGGAGUACGUGCGCAAGCAUGAAACUCAAAGGAAUUGACGG